This 191-nucleotide small nuclear RNA is filed under the name Leptobrachium leishanense (Leishan spiny toad). RNAcentral describes it as "U2 spliceosomal RNA (ENSLLEG00000025311.1)". It matches the Rfam family "U2 spliceosomal RNA". From Rfam's summary of the family: U2 is a small nuclear RNA (snRNA) component of the spliceosome (involved in pre-mRNA splicing). The record is from Rfam by way of RNAcentral. Lineage: Eukaryota; Metazoa; Chordata; Amphibia; Anura; Megophryidae.
AUCACUUCUCGGCCUUUUGGCUAAGAUCAAGUGUAGUAUCUGUUCUUAUCAGUUUAAUAUCUGAUACACUCCCUAUCUGGGGGCCAUAUAUUAAAUGGAUUUUUAGAACAGGGAGAUGGAAGAAGAGCUUGCUCUGUCCACUCCAUGCAUUGACCUGGUAUUGCAGUACCUCCAGGACCGGUGCAAAAAAG